Molecule: non-coding RNA, 93 nt
Submitted as: unclassified sequences
Source: Rfam
UUUCCCUCUACCCAUUGCGGUGGUCAUCCAAGGUAAGAGGUGCCAAAGGCACCCGCCACCGCCUUCCGCAAGGAAGAGGGUAGAGGAGGAGGU